CAAAAACAUCGCCUCCUGCAAAACUUACGACGUAUAGGAGGUCCUGCCUGCCCAGUGACUAUUUGUUAAAUGGCCGCGGUAUCUUGACCGUGCUAAGGUAGCGCAAUCACUUGUCUUUUAAAUGGAGACCUGUAUGAAUGGCAAGACGAGGGCUUAACUGUCUCCUCUUUUUGGUCAGUGAAAUUGAUCUACCCGUGCAGAAGCGGGUAUGAGAAUACAAGACGAGAAGACCCUUUGGAGCUUAAGACCCAAGACCAAUCCUGUCAAGCUAUUAACUUAAUAUUAAUAAAAACAAUUAAGAUACCUGGUCCACGUCUUCGGUUGGGGCGACCACGGGGGAAAACAAAGCCCCCAUGUGGAAUGGGGUUCACACCCUAGAUCUAAGAGAGACAUCUCUAAGCCACAGAACAUCUGACCUAAUUAGAUCCGGCCCUUUUGGCCGAUUAACGAACCAAGUUACCCUAGGGAUAACAGCGCAAUCCCCUUUAAGAGUCCAUAUCGACGAGGGGGUUUACGACCUCGAUGUUGGAUCAGGACAUCCUAAUGGUGCAGCCGCUAUUAAGGGUUCGUUUGUUCAACGAUUAAAGUCCUACGUGAUCUGA
This 602-nucleotide ribosomal RNA is filed under the name Boulengerella lateristriga (striped pike-characin). Its description in RNAcentral is "partial 16S large subunit ribosomal RNA". It matches the Rfam family "Bacterial large subunit ribosomal RNA", at positions 1808 to 2608 of the family's 2925-position model. Lineage: Eukaryota; Metazoa; Chordata; Actinopteri; Characiformes; Ctenoluciidae. The record is from RNAcentral.